Cyprinus carpio carpio is the source of this 866-nucleotide long non-coding RNA. The record is from Ensembl. Lineage: Eukaryota; Metazoa; Chordata; Actinopteri; Cypriniformes; Cyprinidae.
AAGAUAAUUUGUAUUGUUUGCCAACCGCUAAAAAAAGAAGCUGUUGUUUGCCGUGUCGCAUUCUACACAUUUUCAGUCCAAGCCUGAUGCAGAGCAGUUCUCCCGGGUUAAGGGGUCCCUGCUGCAGUUUCACCAGUAAAGAAAAAUUACUUUUUUUACAGUUCACUUGAAGGACCACAUAAGCCAUGCAGUGAUGCAUCGAGGUAUGGAGCGCCAAGAGGACAUAAAGUGGAAGUUUGUAAGGGACAUUGGUCCAGCGUGGUACAGAGUCAUCGUGGGUUAUUCUGUGGGGAGGUGACAGGGCCUGCCGUUCUCCAGAUGGACAGUAAAAAUCAACAGAAUGCCAUCAAAGACUACCUGGAGGGAGAAUCGGAGGAUAUAUUGAAGCAAGGAAUCUCUCUGUGUAGUCUAUGUAUGUAUGUGUGUGUACUGCAUGUCAAGAACUGUUUAUCUGAUCAUUCAGCUGUUCAUUCAGCUGCUCAGACUUUAUAAUAUUUGGAGCAUACCUUUUGUUAAACAACCAGUCAAAAGUUUUUGAACAGUGAGAUUUUUUUAUGUUUUUAAAGAAAUAUCUUCUGCUCAUCAAGCCUGCAUUUAUUUAAUCCGAAGUACAGCAAAAACAGUCCAAUUUUAAAAUAUUUGUAUAAUAUUUUGCUUUUGUAAUAUAUUUUGCUAUUUAAAAUAACAAUUUUCUAUAUUUCUAUUAAAAUGAAAUUUAUUCCUGUGAUUUCAAAGGUGACUUACUCCAGUCACAUGAUCCUUCAUUCUAAUAUGCUGAUUUGAUGCUCAAAAAAACAUUUUAUUAUUAUUAUGUUAAUACACUGAAGACUGGAGUAAUGAUGAAGAAAAUUCAGCUUUGAUCACAG